CCUACGGGAGGCAGCAGUGGGGAAUAUUGCACAAUGGGGGAAACCCUGAUGCAGCGACGCCGCGUGAAGGAAGAAGUAUUUCGGUAUGUAAACUUCUAUCAGCAGGGAAGAAAAUGAUGGUACUUGACUAAGAAGACCCGGCUAACUACGAACCAGCAGCCGCGGUAAUACGUAGGGGGCAGGCGUUUUUCGGAUGUACGGGGUGGAAAGGGUGCGUAGGCGGUUUAGCAAGUCAGAAGUGAAAGCCCGGGGCUGAACUCCGGGACUGCUUGUGAAACUGUUGAACUAGAUUGCAGGAGAGGUAAGUGGAAUUCCUAGUGUAGCGGUGAAAUGCGUAGAUAUUAGGAGGAACACCAGUGGCGAAGGCGGCUUACUGGACUGUAAAUGACGCUGAGGCUCGAAAGCGUGGGGAGCAAACAGGAUUAGAUACCCUAGUAGUC
This 440-nucleotide ribosomal RNA is filed under the name uncultured bacterium. RNAcentral describes it as "partial 16S ribosomal RNA". It matches the Rfam family "Bacterial small subunit ribosomal RNA", at positions 338 to 795 of the family's 1533-position model. The record is from RNAcentral.